This is a long non-coding RNA of Ornithodoros turicata, 2131 nucleotides long. RefSeq lists it as uncharacterized. The record is from RefSeq and is a predicted model, not a curated record. NCBI's taxonomy places the organism in Eukaryota, Metazoa, Arthropoda, Arachnida, Ixodida, Argasidae. The transcript has 2 exons.
UCCUUACCCAUACACUUUCUCGUCAGUUGUAAAUGAUGAAUCUUUUAUUUUUAUUUAUUCAUUUAAUUUUAAUAUUACGUUUUAUUAAGACGCAAUGGACUGACAUACACCAUUCGGUGGCAGUCCAGAGAGAGAGGAAAAUAAUUAUAUUUAAUGUUAUCGAUUUUUAUGUCGUGGCCAUGGAGAAAGCUCUGUGGCGGCGACGAUGGUAGAACAACUCCCUGGUAAGUCAUAUGUGAACUUUCCGCUACUUCCGCGUCAAGUCGCCCCUUACUUUGGUCGCUUUCCUUUUUAGCCCACCGACAUUGUCAGACCCAGUCUUUUUAAAGGGACUCUGACCAGAAGCUGUGAGAGCUGUUUCGUAUGUGCAGUCGAUAAAGCACCCCAAAAGGACUCUCCUUGCGAGAAUUCAUGCAUUAAAACCCCACGGAUUCUCUAAAUUCGAAUUUUAAAGCGACAGUCCGGAGGUCUGGUGGUUUUCGAAUAACGACUGUAUUAGAUUCCAGACAGGACGUGUAUGCUACAUGUGAAACGAGAAAGCUUAAAUCUUCCUCGUUGUUGAGAAAAUGAAUUUAAUAGUAUGCGAAUUCCAUAUCCGGUUUCGGUCUCCCCUGACCACGCCCGACACUAGUGACGUCACGAGUGUCGAGACAAAGCAGCAUCUGCUGCGGCGACGCGAGACGUAAUGAAAUCGAAAGUGUUUUCAGCAUGAGCUCUACGGGCGAAAAAGAGCUGCUUUCUGAGAGCGACGACGACCUUUACUAUGACAACCAUGUCGAAGACGAAUGUUCGUUUACCACAGACGCUUUACCAGUUACGCAUGUACGCACGGAAGCAUGCACGGAUACGGGCGUUGAGGCUGCUUCGUCGCCGGAGAUUCCCAUUCAAGCAGCAGAUUUGUUUAGGUGACACCUCGUUGUCUGCACGCGAGUUUUGUGUCUGUUUACACGGCAUAUGUUGUUGAGCCAACUUUUUGUAUAUCUUGUUUAGGUGUUGGUGCUUGGGCUGCAAUCCGGAACGCCCAAAUGAAUUUCUGUGCUGCCGAAGCGUCGUGAUCAUUUCCCAGAUCUGUGACGAAAACAACAUUGAUUGCAUUGCUCAGCAUCAUAUGUUUCCACUAUUGUGCCUUCACCGCGAAAUUCUCUCCGUUUUCGUACGACAGAAGAGGCACUACAUCCCCACCAAACUGGAGCAACACAGAGACGAGAACAGUACACUCAGGUUUGCAGUAUAUACCUUGUUUGUAUGUUGGGUGUGGGGCCGCCUUAGCCAUGGACAUCGCAGGCAAAUACCCGGCUGCUGCGUAUCAACUAUUCGCAGUGCAUUUCCAUCAGCAGUCUAUCAAGGGUUUCAAGGUGGGAGAGAUGCAACAAACAGUUCCGAUGAGCGAUCUAUUGAAGUUGCUAUGAUUUGUAUUGACCACCCAAUGAAUUUUUUCAGAGAUUGCUCACUGUAUGAUUGGAGAGCGAUUUUGCUGCGCAGCCUUCCUUGAAACCUGGCUGUACUCUUGUACAAGAUACACAGAAACCAACCGUGAAACAAAUAAUCUUUAUUUACAUUGAUAAAAAAAAACACACACACAUGUGAUGGUGCAGAGAUUACAGGACUUUUGGAUGUUUAGCAGAAGUUACAUGUCCAUCCAAGGACCCAUGUUGAAAAAUACCACAAAAUUGUUUGAUCAUUGCAUGCCUACCUCUGCAUGAAACUGAGGCAGACAUGUGGAACACUUGCGCUGAAAAGAAAUGUUAAUAUUACUGGCAGGGACAACAUAUAUGAAAUCCAUAUUCUAUGGCUAUAUAUCCAUGGCUUCCACAUUAGGCAUUGCAUGUCUCGCACAUCGUCCUAGACAUCCUAAAUCAUAAGAGAAGCACGUGUGUUUACGGUGCCCAGUUUUGAACCACUUAUGGAAUUGAGAAGCUUUCUUGUCAUUAUCUGCUCUGUAUAAUCAUGUUCUUUCUCAUUGUGCAGUCUGUGCAGUCUUGUGGUGUGUAUUGUGCAGUCUGUUCAUUUGAUUGUAGAUAUUCUAUUUUUGUGCAUUUGCAGCAAGUGCUGUGGAAUAAUUUAUUUGUGAAAACACUUUAUUUUCAUAUAAUCAUAGUUUAUAGCAAAUAAAUGGAGAGGACAAUUAUUA